This is a long non-coding RNA of Pistacia vera, 702 nucleotides long. RefSeq lists it as uncharacterized. The transcript is spliced from 3 exons. NCBI's taxonomy places the organism in Eukaryota, Viridiplantae, Streptophyta, Magnoliopsida, Sapindales, Anacardiaceae. The record is from RefSeq and is a predicted model, not a curated record.
CCGAUAGAACUCUCUACUUCCAGGCUUUGGCAUAAUGGCAUUGCAUUUAUUUAUUUCAAUUCCAACUCCAUCACUCUUCUUUUGCUUCAUCUUCGAUAUUCUCACUGAUGAAUAUUUGUUCCACCCUUCUCAAGCAUGCAUGCUUUUCAGGUUUAUCCGAGAGAGAGAGAGAGAGAGAGAGAGAGAGAGAAUGCAUAUCAGAAUUGUAUGUAGUGUGCGGGAUGAAGUCAUUCAUCUACAUUGAACCUGAAUUGAAGCAAUUAAGGAUCACCAUUGAAAAGAUUCUUUUCAUGAACGAAUGGGCGCCAGCCUGCAGAAAGUAGUGGCUUCUUAUGUCUUCCAUUGCGGAUGGUUAAAGUAAACCUUCUUAUCUGGCCUUCUUCAUCUUCUAAAAAGAGAGUUUGAUGAUUCUGGCCUGAAGGAAAAUUAGGAAGAUGGUUGAGAAUGCAAGUUUCCAUUACCAAUCUGCCAUCAAUGUCUGUCUUACUUAGUAAGUUAGAGGACAUCAUCAUUGACAUCUCCAUUACUACAAAGGUCUAAUUAGUCUGGAAAAUUAAUUAUAUUUAUAGAGGGGUGUGGGACCGGGUGUUUUGUAAUGUAAGUACGCCACGGGAAGACACGUAUAGCUCCUAUAAAUUUGUUUUCUAAACUUGAAAGUUGAUACAUUCAUUUAUAAAUGAAUAUGAUGUCAAUUUGCAAUCA